Molecule: long non-coding RNA, 1046 nt
Organism: Pseudophryne corroboree (corroboree frog)
Lineage: Eukaryota; Metazoa; Chordata; Amphibia; Anura; Myobatrachidae
Exons: 4
Source: RefSeq, a predicted model, not a curated record
AACAUGCAGGCAGUGUGGUUUCCACCCCUUCCCUUUCCUACUACCCACGGAGGUCCAGCCUGUCAAUCACAUAGAAGCUCUGCCCCUCCAGGCUGGAACGAGGAGCUGCUCUGUUGCUGCCUUCUUGUGACUGGGAACCCCAAUUAUUGCACCGUGUCCCGUAGCAUGGCUCGCUUUGCUCACCAUGCUUCAGGCAAGGGAGGGGAACAACGGCGCUCCGACCAGACCAGAAGAGGACGGAUGCCCUUGGAGAUCUGGAGUUCCAGCCCGGGACGUGAGAAGAUCUACCCAGCUAUCUAUUGUGCAGUUGCGGGGAAUAUAACACCAGGGGGCACCAAGCACAGAGGCAGAAGGAAUAAACUGACCACUGCCUGCGGACGCACCCACCAGCCGCCGGAACAGAUGUCAUAGCAAGGCCUUCUCACUGCUUGUUCUGCUGCAGUCCUGUGAGUCUCCCUCAUCUGUGAUUACAGCUGUGAUUUAUCUGGCUGAGGACAGUACAGCAUUUGAGCCUACACUUCCAGAGACCCCGUGGAAAAAAGAACCAGUGUGUAAUUGUCUAUAGAAAAUGGAUAUAAUAAUGAUGCCGGAGUACCAGGAAGCAUGUUGGCCUCUGAAGAUAAUAUGGGAGCGCAUUAACCAUGCAUACAGUUCAGAUACUCCUCCUAAGGACUGGGGACUUCAAAAAGGGGACUACGGCCUCCAAAUGUGGGUCUUCCCAUCUAACAACGAAAAAUACUCUGUGGUCUGGGAUUCUCAGCGUUCCUAUUGGAAGGUGAACACUCCGUUUGGACAGUGUUUAUUUUUUCUAGGACCUCUGUUCAUCAACAAAGAAAGGACGGGUCUGGCUGUACCCCCGUUAUUCAGUGUCAACCAGUCAGACACAGAUACACUGAUACCGGCCUCGCUUCCAAUGGUGGCAGAGCAAAUGCAUAACAUUUUGAAUUUUAUAGUUAAGCCUUACAGCAACAAAGCAUCCUGAGAUACAAACUGUGGGGGUUAUUCUGAGUUGAUUGCAGCAGCAAGUUUGUUAGCAAUUGGGCAAA